GACGAACGCUGGCGGCGUGCUUAACACAUGCAAGUCGAACGAUGAACCACUUCGGUGGGGAUUAGUGGCGAACGGGUGAGUAACACGUGGGCAAUCUGCCCUUCACUCUGGGACAAGCCCUGGAAACGGGGUCUAAUACCGGAUAACACUGCCACGGGCAUCUGUGGUGGUUAAAAGCUCCGGCGGUGAAGGAUGAGCCCGCGGCCUAUCAGCUUGUUGGUGAGGUAAUGGCUCACCAAGGCGACGACGGGUAGCCGGCCUGAGAGGGCGAUCAGCCGGAUUGGGACUGAGAUAC
Molecule: ribosomal RNA, 295 nt
Filed under: uncultured bacterium
Lineage: Bacteria
Description: partial 16S ribosomal RNA
Rfam family: Bacterial small subunit ribosomal RNA
Source: RNAcentral